RNAcentral lists this ribosomal RNA (342 nucleotides) under uncultured bacterium. Its description in RNAcentral is "bacterial SSU rRNA". It matches the Rfam family "Bacterial small subunit ribosomal RNA", at positions 559 to 898 of the family's 1533-position model. The record is from RNAcentral.
CGCCGUAGGGACGGGGACUGUUACAGGUCUAGGCGUGAAAGUUCCUGGGCUACGAACCUGGGGGCUGCGUUUGAUACGUGAUGUCUGGAGUUCGGAAGAGGGUCGUGGAAUUCCCAGUGUAGAGGUGAAAUUCGUAGAUAUUGGGAAGAACACCGGUGGCGAAGGCGGCGACCUGGUCCGAUACUGACGCUGAGGCGCGAAAGCGUGGGGAGCAAACAGGAUUAGAUACCCUGGUAGUCCACGCUGUAAACGAUGUGCGCUGGAUGUUGGGUGACAUAGUCAUUCAGUGUCGUAGCUAACGCGAUAAGCGCACCGCCUGGGGAGUACGGCCGCAAGGUUGAA